Molecule: non-coding RNA, 125 nt
Organism: Paramuricea clavata
Lineage: Eukaryota; Metazoa; Cnidaria; Anthozoa; Malacalcyonacea; Plexauridae
Source: the annotation of a GenBank genome assembly
UGUUUAUUCGUGCAAUGGUAAGAAUAUUUCAUUCGGUGAAAGAUGGAAUGUUCCAGUCGCCUCAUUGAAUGGAACAUUCCAUCUUCAACCUCGUGAAAAUAUUCUUACCAUUGCACGAAUAAACA